AGAGUUUGAUCCUGGCUCAGAUUGAACGCUGGCGGCAUGCCUUACACAUGCAAGUCGAACGGUAACAGGUCUUUCGGGAUGCUGACGAGUGGCGAACGGGUGAGUAAUACAUCGGAACGUGCCUAGUAGUGGGGGAUAACUACUCGAAAGAGUGGCUAAUACCGCAUGAGAUCUAUGGAUGAAAGCAGGGGACCUUCGGGCCUUGUGCUACUAGAGCGGCCGAUGGCAGAUUAGGUAGUUGGUGGGAUAAAAGCUUACCAAGCCUGCGAUCUGUAGCUGGUCUGAGAGGACGAUCAGCCACACUGGGACUGAGACACGGCCCAGACUCCUACGGGAGGCAGCAGUGGGGAAUUUUGGACAAUGGGGGAAACCCUGAUCCAGCAAUGCCGCGUGCAGGAUGAAGGCCUUCGGGUUGUAAACUGCUUUUGUACGGAACGAAAAGU
Molecule: ribosomal RNA, 443 nt
Filed under: Comamonas sp. R-28230
Lineage: Bacteria; Pseudomonadati; Pseudomonadota; Betaproteobacteria; Burkholderiales; Comamonadaceae
Description: bacterial SSU rRNA
Rfam family: Bacterial small subunit ribosomal RNA
Source: RNAcentral